RNAcentral lists this ribosomal RNA (497 nucleotides) under uncultured bacterium. RNAcentral describes it as "bacterial SSU rRNA". It matches the Rfam family "Bacterial small subunit ribosomal RNA", at positions 90 to 573 of the family's 1533-position model. The record is from RNAcentral.
GAGGAGUGGCGGACGGGUGAGUAACACGUGGGUAACCUACCCAUCAGAGGGGGAUAACACUUGGAAACAGGUGCUAAUACCGCAUAACAGUUUAUGCCGCAUGGCAUAAGAGUGAAAGGCGCUUUCGGGUGUCGCUGAUGGAUGGACCCGCGGUGCAUUAGCUAGUUGGUGAGGUAACGGCUCACCAAGGCCACGAUGCAUAGCCGACCUGAGAGGGUGAUCGGCCACACUGGGACUGAGACACGGCCCAGACUCCUACGGGAGGCAGCAGUAGGGAAUCUUCGGCAAUGGACGAAAGUCUGACCGAGCAACGCCGCGUGAGUGAAGAAGGUUUUCGGAUCGUAAAACUCUGUUGUUAGAGAAGAACAAGGACGUUAGUAACUGAACGUCCCCUGACGGUAUCUAACCAGAAAGCCACGGCUAACUACGUGCCAGCAGCCGCGGUAAUACGUAGGUGGCAAGCGUUGUCCGGAUUUAUUGGGCGUAAAGCGAGCGCA